Molecule: ribosomal RNA, 403 nt
Filed under: uncultured bacterium
Lineage: Bacteria
Description: partial 16S ribosomal RNA
Rfam family: Bacterial small subunit ribosomal RNA
Source: RNAcentral
AUCGAACGCUGGCGGCAGGCCUAACACAUGCAAGUCGAGCGAGCGGCGGACGGGUGAGCAAUGUAUGGGGACUGCCCGAUAGAGGGGGAUAACUACUGGAAACGGUGGCUAAUACUGCAUAAUACCGGAUAACCCACAUGGGAUUAGCUAGUGGGUGGGGUAAAGGCUCACCUAGGCGACGAUCUCUAGCUGGUCUGAGAGGGUGAUCGGCCACACGGGGACUGAGACACGGCCCAGACUCCUACGGAGGCAGCAGUGGGGAAUAUUGCACAAUGGGCGCAAGCCUGAUACAGCCAUGCCGCGUGUAUGAAGAAGGCCUUAGGGUUGUAAAGUACUUUCAGCGGGGAGGCGUUACCCGCAGAAGAAGCACCGGCUAACUCCGUGCCAGCAGCCGCGGUAAUAC